This 250-nucleotide ribosomal RNA is filed under the name uncultured bacterium. RNAcentral describes it as "partial 16S ribosomal RNA". It matches the Rfam family "Bacterial small subunit ribosomal RNA", at positions 355 to 617 of the family's 1533-position model. The record is from RNAcentral.
UGGGGAAUAUUGCGCAAUGGGCGAAAGCCUGACGCAGCAACGCCGCGUGCGGGAUGACGGCCUUCGGGUUGUAAACCGCUUUCAGCUACGACGAAGUGAAAGUGACGGUAGUAGCAGAAGAAGCGCCGGCUAACUACGUGCCAGCAGCCGCGGUGAUACGUAGGGCGCAAGCGUUGUCCGGAAUUAUUGGGCGUAAAGAGCUCGUAGGCGGUCUGUUGCGUCGGGAGUGAAAACUCAGGGCUUAACCCUG